CAGCCGCCGCGGUAAUACCGGCGGCCCGAGUGGCGGCCACUAUUAUUGGGCCUAAAGCGUCCGUAGCCGGGCUGGUAAGUCCCCCGGGAAAUCUGGCGGCUUAACCGUCAGAAUUCCGGGGGAUACUGCCAGCCUAGGGACCGGGAGAGGCCGGGGGGCUUCCCGGAGUAGGGGUGAAAUCCUAUAAUCCCGGGAGGACCACCUGUGGCGAAGGCGCUCGGCUGGAACGCGUCCGACGGUGAGGGACGAAGGCCAGGGGAGCAAACCGGAUUAGAUACCCGGGUAGUCCUGGCUGUAAACGAUGCGGACUUUGUGUCGGACAAGCUAUGAGCUUGUCCGGUGCCGGAGGGAAACCGUUAAGUCCGCCGCCUGGGGAGUACGGCCGCAAGGCUGAAACUUAAAGGAAUUGGCGGG
This 414-nucleotide ribosomal RNA is filed under the name uncultured microorganism. RNAcentral describes it as "bacterial SSU rRNA". It matches the Rfam family "Archaeal small subunit ribosomal RNA", at positions 459 to 872 of the family's 1478-position model. The record is from RNAcentral.